This is a long non-coding RNA of Numida meleagris (helmeted guineafowl), 1304 nucleotides long. RefSeq lists it as uncharacterized. The record is from RefSeq and is a predicted model, not a curated record. The transcript is spliced from 4 exons. NCBI's taxonomy places the organism in Eukaryota, Metazoa, Chordata, Aves, Galliformes, Numididae.
GGAUAUUAAGAAAACUUGGGGGUUUAAAUAUAAAUUGUGAAAGCUAAAAUUACCAUUCUGAAAUUGAAACAUUAUAUGAGUUAUCAGUCAGAGCAAUUUCAAAAUUUGGUUAUAUAAUCACUGGAAAGGAACUGAAACAAGAUCCUUCAUUCCACUUCUGUAGAAAUCUGUUGCUAUAGAGUAACUCUGUCUCCUGAUAUGUCUUAUAACAGGAGCAGACACAGUGCAGAACCGCAGAGACUUUCUGACAGACCAGGAAAUCUGUUUAUCAGUCUCCAUCACUUUUAGGAGUAGGCAAGAAAAGAUGACAAAAAAGGAGGGCAUCCCUGCACCACUUUGUCAAAGUGAAUUUUGGGAUACAGAUGCAGAGUGAAAUGCUAAGGUAGCUAAGGCAAGAGAUCAUCAUUUAGAUAUGCUGUCUUUCUUCAGGGGACGUAGGGAAAAAGAGUAUUCAGAUGGGGGACAAAGCCUUGGAUUUUGGCAGCAAGUGAAAAGCCUUGUCUGCCUGCACUGAGCAAGGGCUGCCCAAGGACAAGAAUACUCCAGGUAAAUACACCACAAUGUAUUUUACUAUGACGGCACCAUCUGAUCACAACUCCGGUUCCAUGGCCUGGCAGGCCGCUUGGCAGCAUACAGAGAUGCUUGGAAGGACAUCUUGCCAAUUAACUGUUCCACUGAAUCAAAGAUUUACCCCAUGUUGCGCUAAGGCCGAUUAACAAUGAAGUCUGAGGUUUUAUUAUAGUUCCAAAAAAAUUCAGCAGGGCAAUAAAUGUUGACAAAUGGCAACUGCAAUUUGGAAUUGUAUUCUGGCCAGCUAUUAACUUGCUGCUGCCCUCAAUUCUGUCCUUCUCAGGUGAUAUGAGCUGCUUUUUUAACUGCAGGAGAAUAAUUCCAUUUUUCAGUGUAGAACCAUACUAUGGAGGGAGAAUUCUUAUUGUAUUGCAUCACUCAGCAACUAUCAAAGGGCAUCCAAAUAAGCAUGAAAGGGAUGGAGAGACAGAAACAAAGAUAAAUUUGAAGUGAUUCAGAGAGAAAGCAGUGCGCGGUUUAAAGAUGCGCUCCAAGCUGUACGCAAAGCGAACAUAACGAGCUAAACUUCCUGGAGAAACAAAGGAAUGAAUGACUGCAGGACAUUAAUGCAAUUUGAAGUACUUUGUUGAUCUUCAGUUAUAUAUCAAGGAUUAAACUGAACUCUGCAAGACAAUAACUGGUGUUAUUCUGUGAGUUUUUACACCUUACUGGGUUCAAGCUAAGGAAAAAGUUGAGAGUAAACUUAAGUGGAAUUUACUACUUCCAAAGUGACU